AAUGAGGAGUUUAAUGAUUAAAAAAAAAAAGUCGAAUAAUAAGGCAGUCCAUCUGAUGGUAGUAAUUAAAUCAUAUAAAUGAGGAAUAUAGGUAACUCACUCGAUCCAAACCUCUGUCUUAUUAGCAACAACAACAACAACUACCCAGUAUAUUCCCACCAAGUGGGGUCUGGGGAGGGUAAUAUGUAGACGAGUCUUACCCCUACCCGAAGAAACCUCUGCCUUAUUAGCAGAAAACUAAAAAAAAAACAGAAAACAGAUCGAUCUGCCUCUCUCUCUUUGUCUGUCUCUCUCCGUACCCAAAGGCCGAAACUAUUAUGGCCACUAGCGGUAAUGGUGGUCGGCCUUUCCCUGAGGAUUUAGCGGUGAAUAUUCUACUCAGGUUGCCAGUGGAGUCCUUGUUGCGAUUCAAAUGCGUCUGCAAGAACUGGUACGAGAUAAUGAAGAGCCGUAGCUUCAUCAGAGAACACAUGCAUUAGAACAGCAAGAGCAAAUCCCCUCAAAUCUUGAUUUACGAUCAUAGUGCCCCACAUGAUU
This 537-nucleotide long non-coding RNA is filed under the name Nicotiana benthamiana. RNAcentral's name for it is "long non-coding RNA (NBEN_LNC015008)". Lineage: Eukaryota; Viridiplantae; Streptophyta; Magnoliopsida; Solanales; Solanaceae. The record is from RNAcentral.